Molecule: ribosomal RNA, 482 nt
Filed under: Candida tropicalis
Lineage: Eukaryota; Fungi; Ascomycota; Pichiomycetes; Serinales; Debaryomycetaceae
Description: eukaryotic LSU rRNA
Rfam family: 5.8S ribosomal RNA (bases 134-287)
Source: RNAcentral
AUGCUUAUUGCACCACAUGUGUUUUUUAUUGAACAAAUUUCUUUGGUGGCGGGAGCAAUCCUACCGCCAGAGGUUAUAACUAAACCAAACUUUUUAUUUACAGUCAAACUUGAUUUAUUAUUACAAUAGUCAAAACUUUCAACAACGGAUCUCUUGGUUCUCGCAUCGAUGAAGAACGCAGCGAAAUGCGAUACGUAAUAUGAAUUGCAGAUAUUCGUGAAUCAUCGAAUCUUUGAACGCACAUUGCGCCCUUUGGUAUUCCAAAGGGCAUGCCUGUUUGAGCGUCAUUUCUCCCUCAAACCCCCGGGUUUGGUGUUGAGCAAUACGCUAGGUUUGUUUGAAAGAAUUUAACGUGGAAACUUAUUUUAAGCGACUUAGGUUUAUCCAAAAACGCUUAUUUUGCUAGUGGCCACCACAAUUUAUUUCAUAACUUUGACCUCAAAUCAGGUAGGACUACCCGCUGAACUUAAGCAUAUCAAAAG